Molecule: ribosomal RNA, 494 nt
Filed under: uncultured bacterium
Lineage: Bacteria
Description: partial 16S ribosomal RNA
Rfam family: Bacterial small subunit ribosomal RNA
Source: RNAcentral
GACGAACGCUGGCGGCGUGCUUAACACAUGCAAGUCGAGCGGUGAAGCGCCUUCCUUUUUGGUGGGUGUGGAUGAGUGGCGAACGGGUGAGUAACACGUGAGUAACCUGCCCCCUUCUUCUGGAUAACCGCAUGAAAGUGUGGCUAAUACGGGAUAUUCUGGGUCUGUCGCAUGAUGGGUCUGGGAAAGAUAUUGUUUCGGUGGGGGAUGGGCUCGCGGCCUAUCAGCUUGUUGGUGGGGUGAUGGCCUACCAAGGCGGUGACGGGUAGCCGGCCUGAGAGGGUGGACGGUCACACUGGGACUGAGACACGGCCCAGACUCCUACGGGAGGCAGCAGUGGGGAAUAUUGCACAGGGGGCGCAAGCCUGAUGCAGCGACGCCGCGUGAGGGAUGGAGGCCUUCGGGUUGUGAACCUCUUUCGCCAGUGAAGCAGGCCUGCCUCGUUUGUGGGUGGGUUGACGGUAGCUGGAGAAGAAGCGCCGGCUAACUACGUG